Sorghum bicolor (sorghum) is the source of this 586-nucleotide long non-coding RNA. RefSeq lists it as uncharacterized. The transcript is spliced from 2 exons. The record is from RefSeq and is a predicted model, not a curated record. NCBI's taxonomy places the organism in Eukaryota, Viridiplantae, Streptophyta, Magnoliopsida, Poales, Poaceae.
CCUUGCUAUUUUACAAAAUCAUAUAACUUGUGUCAGUGGUUGGCUAUAUAUGGCAAGCGAAAAUCAAGAAAUAGCCAACUUUCUAUUUUACAAAACUAGAUAGCACAUCUAUUGGAGUCUACCUUUUGUUAUGCAAAUUUUAAAAUAGCCACCACAACAAGAAUAGACAAGCUGUUGGAGUUGCUCUAAGAGGCUAAAAUUACCCGUUAUUUGUGAAACUACAUGUAUGAGUGUGGUGCGAAUGGGUGGUGGUGGAUGGUGGUGUGGACAACAGCAAUGGCAUGACGCGGUCAAGGAUGUCUUUCACAGGAUGGUUGAAAUGGAUUCCUCUAUUUGGUGGGAGGUCAAUGGUGGCUUUGUUGUGAUGUAGCAUGGUUGGAAGGAUUUCUCUUCAUUUGGUGUGAGAGAUCAAUGGUGGCUCAGACAUAUGACAUGGCUUGUGAUGUCCACUACUCGUGGCGGUGGCGUAGUGUGAUCUUAAUAUAGUUGAUUGGUUAAUGUAAAAAGUUAGUUUUCCAUGAUGUGUUUAUAUGUUUGGAUGAGAUGAGCAAAACUUUAUUUCUAUAUAACCUCAUUUGGUUUUCAA